Molecule: long non-coding RNA, 831 nt
Organism: Dreissena polymorpha
Lineage: Eukaryota; Metazoa; Mollusca; Bivalvia; Myida; Dreissenidae
Exons: 2
Source: RefSeq, a predicted model, not a curated record
AAGUAUGUUUUAAUAGCAAAACGUAAAACAAAAUGAAUAAAUUGGAUAAAUGUGUGAAAAGUGUACUGUAUAGGCAUGAAUCGGAAUAUAAAACCAUUUAAACUCUACUCCAAAAAUGAGUUAUGUUAUUUGUUUAUAUAACCAUACCAGCCGAUAUGGUAUGCUCACCAGGAAAAGCAUUUGAUCCGUCCAUUUAAUAAAUGCGGACAAUAUUAAGUUAGUCGUUUGAAUAGACUAUAUCUGUGUAUUAUUGCUGAAAAAAAACAUCACACGAACAUGAAUCAACACUUUUGUUUGUCCGUAAGAUUCAUGCAUGUUGUAAUGUGGAAUAAACAAAAUCACAAUAGAAAUUCGACGUUGAAUUUCAUAUACGGAAGUAUGUUUGCGGUGACAGUACAGAAAACACCUCUAGCAGUAAGAUGCAAACUAGUUGGCGAUCGGAACUUGGCAAUCGAAGCGGACAAGGUUGAUAUUCAAGACAUGGAUACGAGCAAAUCCAUAAAUACAUUUCCGUUUACAUGGAUACGGAAUUUGGGUCGUUAAGGACAUCAUUUAUUUUAUUUCGAUGUCGGAAAAAAAAACAAUGCGAACUUGGGGAGGGAACGAUUUAUAUCGUAAACCACCCAGACAGCGCGGAACAUUGUAAGCAAAUAUAUGACUUGCUGGUUGCCAGUAUACAUAAUGUGUAACGUAAAAAAAUACAACAUAAUAAAAUUUACUGGUAUAAUGACAGAAAAAAUAUAAUUACUCUUUUCAUGACACUUGUAAUUUAUUUUAGUGUAGUAACGCCCGUCGAAUAUUCGGAAUUUUAGAUAAAGUGAUAAAAAUUAA